RNAcentral lists this microRNA precursor (78 nucleotides) under Erinaceus europaeus (western European hedgehog). Its description in RNAcentral is "mir-92 microRNA precursor family". It matches the Rfam family "mir-92 microRNA precursor family". Rfam says of the family: This family represents the microRNA precursor mir-92. Lineage: Eukaryota; Metazoa; Chordata; Mammalia; Eulipotyphla; Erinaceidae. The record is from Rfam by way of RNAcentral.
GUUCAUCCAUGGGCAGGGAUUUGCUGCACUGCUGUGCUAAUAUAAAGUAUUGCACUUGUCCCGGCCUGUGGAAGAAAG